GAUGAACGCUGGCGGCGUGCCUAACACAUGCAAGUCGAGCGGCAGCGGGGGGUGCUUGCACCCUGUCGGCGAGCGGCGGACGGCUGAGUAACGUGUGGGAACGUGCCCCAAAGUGAGGAAUAACUGCCCGAAAGGGUAGCUAAUACCGCAUAUUAUCUUCGGAUCAAAGGAUUUAUCCGCUUUGGGAGCGGCUCGCGUCGGAUUAGGUAGUUGGUGAGGUAAUGGCUCACCAAGCCGACGAUCCGUAGCUGGUCUGAGAGGAUGACCAGCCAGACUGGAACUGAGACACGGUCCAGACUCCUACGGGAGGCAGCAGUGAGGAAUCUUCCACAAUGGGCGAAAGCCUGAUGGAGCAACGCCGCGUGCAGGACGAAGGCCUUCGGGUUGUAAACUGCUUUUAUAAGUGAGGAAUAUGACGGUAACUUAUGAAUAAGGAUCGGCUAACUACGUG
RNAcentral lists this ribosomal RNA (451 nucleotides) under uncultured bacterium. RNAcentral describes it as "partial 16S ribosomal RNA". It matches the Rfam family "Bacterial small subunit ribosomal RNA", at positions 28 to 507 of the family's 1533-position model. The record is from RNAcentral.